RNAcentral lists this ribosomal RNA (406 nucleotides) under uncultured bacterium. RNAcentral's name for it is "partial 16S ribosomal RNA". It matches the Rfam family "Bacterial small subunit ribosomal RNA", at positions 30 to 526 of the family's 1533-position model. The record is from RNAcentral.
AUUGAACGCUAGCGGAAGGCCUUACACAUGCAAGUCGAACGAGUGGCGGACGGGUGAGUAAUGUCUGGGAAACUGCCUGAUGGAGGGGGAUAACUACUGGAAACGGUAGCUAAUACCGCAUACCAUCAGAUGUGCCCAGAUUGGAUUAGCUGGUUGGUGGGGUAACGGCUCACCAAGGCGACGACCCCUAGCUGGUAUGAGAGGAGGACCAGACCAACUGGAACUGAGACACGGUCCAGACUCCUACGGGAGUCAGCAGUGGGGAAUAUUGCACAAUGGGCGAAAGCCUGAUACAGCCAUGCCGCGUGUAUGAAGAAGGCCUUCGGGUUGUAAAGUACUUUCAGCGGGGAGGCGUUACCCGCAGAAGAAGCACCGGCUAACUCCGUGCCAGCAGCCGCGGUAAUUC